CAAGUUGUGGCGAGUGGAUGCCUGGACGCUGCGGACGUCCCUGAAGAUCUCGGGAAGCGACGCGCUCGCGUUCAGCCCACGCGACGAUCUGC
RNAcentral lists this transfer RNA (92 nucleotides) under Phytohabitans flavus. Its description in RNAcentral is "tRNA-Arg". The record is from RNAcentral. Lineage: Bacteria; Bacillati; Actinomycetota; Actinomycetes; Micromonosporales; Micromonosporaceae.